This 413-nucleotide ribosomal RNA is filed under the name Triatoma dimidiata (kissing bug). RNAcentral's name for it is "eukaryotic LSU rRNA". It matches the Rfam family "Eukaryotic large subunit ribosomal RNA", at positions 428 to 730 of the family's 3401-position model. The record is from RNAcentral. Lineage: Eukaryota; Metazoa; Arthropoda; Insecta; Hemiptera; Reduviidae.
GACGUUGCGACCUGUCAAAUAAUAUCCUAAGUAUAUGGCUAAUUUGUCUGUUUUAGGCAAUACCGCGAGGUAUUUCCUUUAACAGUUUUAGCCGUUUAUAUAUACUGGAUAUAAUUGACAGUAACGAAUCAUGGUGUUGAGCCACUUUGAAAUUGUAUAUUUAUAUGUAUAAUGGAAAGUGUCCUUGUGGCUGUUUGCAAGUGGGUUGGUUAAUUAGUUUUAGUCGGAUUUUGGUCCGUCUAGCUAUUCCGCCUACUGUUGGUAAACUGUUCCUUGGACAGUGCUUAUAACACCGGUCGGCAGCGAUUCAGGUUCAGGCUCUUAUCCGACCCGUCUUGAAACACGGACCAAGGAGUUUAGCGUGUACGCAAGUCAUUGGGUGUAUAAAACUCAAAGGCGCAAUGAAAUUGAAA